AACGAACGCUGGCGGCAGGCUUAACACAUGCAAGUCGAGCGCAUCCUUCGGGGUGAGCGGCGGACGGGUGAGUAACGCGUGGGAACGUGCCCUCUUCUACGGAAUAGCCUCGGGAAACUGAGAGUAAUGCCGUAUACGCCCGCAAGGGGAAAGAUUUAUCGGAGGAGGAUCGGCCCGCGUUGGAUUAGGUAGAUGGUGGGGUAACGGCCUACCAAGCCGACGAUCCAUAGCUGGUUUGAGAGGAUGAUCAGCCACACUGGGACUGAGACACGGCCCAGACUCCUACGGGAGGCAGCAGUGGGGAAUCUUGGACAAUGGGGGCAACCCUGAUCCAGCCAUGCCGCGUGAUCGAUGAAGGCCUUAGGGUUGUAAAGAUCUUUCAGCUGGGAAGAUAAUGACGGUACCAGCAGAAGAAGCCCCGGCUAACUCCGUG
RNAcentral lists this ribosomal RNA (433 nucleotides) under uncultured bacterium. RNAcentral's name for it is "partial 16S ribosomal RNA". It matches the Rfam family "Bacterial small subunit ribosomal RNA", at positions 29 to 507 of the family's 1533-position model. The record is from RNAcentral.